UAGGGAAUAUUGGACAAUGGGUGAGAGCCUGAUCCAGCCAUGCCGCGUGCAGGAAGAAGGCGUUAUGCGUUGUAAACUGCUUUUGCCAGGGGAUAAAAUGACCGUGCGCGGUUAAUUGAAGGUACCUGGUGAAUAAGCCACGGCUAACUACGUGCCAGCAGCCGCGGUAAUACGUAGGUGGCAAGCGUUGUCCGGAUUUAUUGGGUUUAAAGGGUGCGUAGGUGGCCCUGUAAGUCAGUGGUGAAAUAUCUCAGCUUAACUGAGAGGGUGCCAUUGAUACUGCAGGGCUUGAGUACAGAUGAGGUAGGCUGAAUUGACGGUGUAGCGGUGAAAUGCAUAGAUAUCGUCAAGAACACCGAUAGCGAAGGCAGCUUACCAAGCUGUAACUGACACUGAGACACGAAAGUGUGGGGAUCAAACAGGAUUAGAUACCCAAGUAGUCCCUGAGCGGGCUGGCAAGGCGCAU
Molecule: ribosomal RNA, 466 nt
Filed under: uncultured bacterium
Lineage: Bacteria
Description: bacterial SSU rRNA
Rfam family: Bacterial small subunit ribosomal RNA
Source: RNAcentral